UUGGCUCUAUUUAUUGAGAUUAUCUGAAUUUUGUUGAUGGAUAUUUGAUUAUGAACUUUUAGCAGAUUUGAUUAUGAUUGUUUUGGAUGAUAUAAGUCUGAUUUUAGUUUGAACAGGCUUUUCUAAUCCAAAUAGUAGCCUUAGAUGUUUACAGUUGAUAAAAUUAGGUGAAUGUACUCUACUAAGCUUCUCAACAUAAUGAAAUCCUAUAUAUGUUGAAUAUUGUUGGUGCCACUGAAAUUUAUCCUACCAAGUACCAAAAGUAAGAUUCAAGAUACCUAUUAAUCAAGUUUCGUUUGCAGUCUUUGCUUCGCGUAGAGAUCUGUCGCAUGCUCAUAAUUAUCAUCCUGAUUUGUAUUGAUAGCUGUUACAUGUAAAUUUAAUUGAAGGCUUACAUUACUAGUUAUUGUAAUUGAAGUUGAUCAACAAGACUCUGUAUUGGAGCCUUGAUAGUCAAUAGAAAAUGACAGGAAAGGAGGUUGACUGGAAGUGUUGUUGUGAAGGAAUCCCAGACAUCACACUACUCUGACAACACACUUUAAAGUACAAAAUAAUCAACUAGCUACAAUAGCUUUACACUUUUUGGGUGCAAAAUCAUAAGUUUUCCUUUUCCAAACCCAGAUUACCUAAUUGUUAGGUUCAGGAUCUAAAGAUUGAAGCCACUAGAUCUAGGCAAUGUUAAACAAAAGAAGACUGUUGUUUAUUUGAAUAAGUUUGAAGCUGAAAUGCGAGGCGAAUUCGGGAUUGGCUCUGCUGCUCAAUAUGGUUCUGCUGAUUUAAAGAAAGCUGUUCAUGUCAAUGAAAAUUUCAGAAGGGCAAAUUUCACAUCAGCAGAUAUGAGGGAAUCAGAUUUCAGUGGUUCAACAUUCAAUGGUGCAUACCUUGAGAAAGCUGUUGCUUACAAAGCCAAUUUCUCUUGUGCUGAUUUUAGUGAUACGCUGAUGGAUCGUAUGAAAUAUUGUUGAUUAUAUAAGCAAAUCUUGUGAAUUAUUGGACAUCCAGUUCUCAGUUUCAUUGAUUAGAGAUUAGUUUUGGUAAGGAAAAGGCUUGUUGCUUUAAUACUCAAGCAUGUUAUCCUCAAAUUUCAUGUCUUAAAUAAAGCAAAUCUUACUAAUGUUGUUCUUGUAAGAUCAGUCCUUACUCGAAGUGUCCUUACUGGAACUCUUAUUCAAGGUGCUGAUUUUAGUGAUGCUGUUCUUGACUAUCCCCAGAAACUGGCUCUUUGCAAGUAUGCAAGUGGAACGAAUUCAAUAACAGGAGUAAGCACAAGAAUAAGCUUAGGUUGUGGAAACAAACGAAGAAAUGCAUAUGGUAGUCCUUACUCGAAGUGUCCUUGCUAGUGCUCUUAUUUCUAUUCUGGUGAUGAUAUAGUACGAAAAGGAAUUGUGUAGCUUGUUGAUUUAGGUCAUGUAAAACUCACCAAAGGCCAAAUAUUAUGAAGUAACUGGCCUAACUGCUAAUUGAUGUUACCUUUGGUGCUAUUAUCCACUAUGGUCUUUAUAUAGUUAUUUUUUAUUUGUUUUACUUUCAUUUACCUUUGUAUGGUUGGUGAUAAGCUUGUUGCCAUAUUUAUAUAAUUACUUAGCUGA
Molecule: RNA transcript, 1589 nt
Organism: Spinacia oleracea (spinach)
Lineage: Eukaryota; Viridiplantae; Streptophyta; Magnoliopsida; Caryophyllales; Amaranthaceae
Gene name: thylakoid lumenal protein TL20.3, chloroplastic-like
Exons: 6
Source: RefSeq, a predicted model, not a curated record